AUUUUCUCUCUUUUAGAAACUCUCACCCAUCCUGGAGUCCUUUUUCUGUUAGGAUUUCCUGCCCUGGGACCUUACCUAUCACUGUUCCGAGUUUAUUAAAAUUUGCUUUCCUAACUCCUAACGUAUACGUGCAGCUACACUCUGCUUUUGUUCCUUUUGAAAUCACAAACUCAAGUUAGAACAUGGUCACUUUCCCUUAAGAAUUUGUUUUACUUCCACUUCCUCCACCAAGCCAUCUCUACUGGUUAGGAUCAAGUACAGGAUAACUACUCCUCUCGUUUCUUCCUCCACUUUUUGUACAAGAAAAUAAUCAGCCACACAAGCCAGGAGUUUGUUAGAUGGUCUAUGUUUGGCAGAAUUUGUCUCCCAACAGAUAUCAGGAUAAUUGAAGUCUUCCAUCACAGCUAUGUCGUGUUUCUUUGAAAUUCCUGUAAUUUGUUUUUCAGAAGUUUCAUCUGCAUCUUCUUGAUUGAACGGACUUCUUGGCAAGAUACAAAACUUCUGAUGACCACUGGAUCGGUCUCCAAAGGGAUUCAGAAGGACAGCCCUGGAGAUGGACCAAUGGCAC
Pogona vitticeps (central bearded dragon) is the source of this 568-nucleotide non-coding RNA. Lineage: Eukaryota; Metazoa; Chordata; Lepidosauria; Squamata; Agamidae. The record is from RefSeq and is a predicted model, not a curated record.